CACGAUGUGCGCGCCGGGGCGCCGCUCCCGCUCCCGAGCAUAGCAGCAGCGGCGGAGCCCCGCCGCCGGCGAGCUCUCUCUGGCGGAGGAGGGCGGGGGCGAGCUCGCCGUCUCCCUCGCGCUCAACAAUCUCUUCUCCCACGCCGUCGCCCGCUUCACGGCCUACUUCGGCCUCAUGCUCCCGCAUCGACCGGCUCUUCGGCGCGGAGGACGUCCAUCAGGCGGCGGGCGAGAUCUCCGGCCGGGAUGGGCCACUGCCUCCACCAUCACCGCCUCUUCGUUGCCGCCGCCGCCGACAUGUGCGAGGGAUGCCUGUCUUCUUCAAAGAACGAGAUGAAUGAAGGAUGCAGAGGAGACAGGCUCCAUGGCGUGUUCCUGCUGUAAAGCUCUCGACCUCUCGUACAGGUACACGUUUCUUCUUCACGCGAGUUUGAAAACACACAUACUACCGCGAGCCGGAGAUCCAUCCACCCAGUUAUGGAUCCAUCAGGUACAAGCCACUAGCCACCAGGUAAUAGAGAUUUCCCCUCUGAUUUAGUUGGAUUGGGGGAGGCUAGAGAGGCUUGCUUGUUGUUGUGUUUUCUGCGUGAGAGAGCAGAGAGAACUGAGAGAUCACAUGGAUCCAGUGUACAGAUGAGCUUUUGGUGUGGGGGUGGUGGUGGUGGUUGAGGUAGCAGGGAGAGGAUGGUCACUAGAUGGAAGAGUGCAGGGAAUGUUGCUUGCUACUGCUACUGCAUGUGCUAUUGUGUUAUUUUGUAAUAUUUCUGAACUGUUAGCGAUAUUGCCGCAGUGAGAUGAGCUUAUUUUGUAAUAUAUGGUCUUUUCCAGUGCAUUGCAAAACUAACUAAUAGUUUGUGAUCUGACACCCUGGUAACCUCAUGAUUGGGUGGUGCAUGCAGGGCACACCUCCGAGCUAGCCGAUGCUUAGUAUACCAGUGUUCUGCUGCAUCCGGUGCGACCUCAAAGAAUACCUUCGUCUAGCUGGCCGUUGAGCACCUUAGGGACGACGAGGUGCAGUGCCUGGGGUGUAAGCAGUUCAACUACACGAUGAAGUGAGUAAAGGGGUUAAGACGGUUGCGUUGUGCGUGCGCUGCUUGCUUGCUGUCAACUUGUUGGACAACUGUACACGUAUGUGUUUUUUCAAGCCCACUGAUUUCAGCCUCUCCGUCUCCUUCAAGCCGAUGAGAAGUUCAGGGAUAUUCCUGGGAGUGCCUAUUAUGUGGCUCCGGAGGUGCUGAAGCGGAUAUAUGGAGCCGAUAAUUGCAUAUGGAGUGCUGGAGUUAUACUCUACAUUCUGCUGUCUGGCAUUCCUCCUUUUUGGGCAGCAGGGCAGGUGCGUUCUCUGGCUGGUUAUGUCAAUCAAUUUUGGGGCUGUGAUGGAUGCAAAGACUGGAAGAUCCUCCUGUGAAGCAUAAAUUUCAUUGUAUCCAAGGAGAUAUCAAAUGCUGAAAACAUGGGACUCAAAAUGUAUAGAGAGUCGGAGACACUGCUAAACUGUUAUUUAUGGGUGUCUACCAAAUUCACUAUCAACCACUGUUGUAGGAC
This is an RNA transcript of Triticum aestivum (bread wheat), 1545 nucleotides long. It is a transcript of the gene named calcium-dependent protein kinase 15, with no coding region annotated. The transcript is spliced from 4 exons. NCBI's taxonomy places the organism in Eukaryota, Viridiplantae, Streptophyta, Magnoliopsida, Poales, Poaceae. The record is from RefSeq and is a predicted model, not a curated record.